GAUGAAAUAACAGAAGUUUCCUGCAGUCCCCGGUGCAGAAACUCUGGCCACGGCGGGGAUUUAUUCACUCUGCGAGGAGGGGAGGAUGUUCACGGUGCUCAUGUGAGGUUGUCACAGAGACACGGCGGGUCCUGCGAUAAGGGGAGGAUGUUAUCGGCUCACACGCUCUGAGAUGUUGGCUCCUGCCUUGACUGUUUGUCGCCCUCCUGCUCGGCAAAAGGCAGCGCCCGGUUUGUCCCUGCCUUCCUUCCCUCGGCGUGCCCGGCAUCUCGGCGAGUCCUCAGCCGGCCUGAGAUGAGGCAGCCUCCUCCCGGGAAUGGGCAUCUGAAGUCUCCAUCGUCAUCAAAUACAACUCCUGUCAUUCUCCUCUUCCAUUCACCUACCCAAAGACCAAAUCUGGAAAUAGUAACCAAAAGAGAAGCCCACGUCACACACAGAGCAGGGAAAGGUUGAAAUAAUUGAAGGGUUGGCCAGAUGCACUGGGGCAUGGAGUGAACAGAAAGAGGUUAAAUUGAUGGAUGACCAACAAGAGCAGGAUUGUGCCUCAGAAGACCAAGAAACUAUCCUGAUUAAUGGGGUGAAAGAAAAUGGUAAGGAACUUAAUUAUGGUACAUGAGGGAGCAGCGACAACUUGGAAGCCAACUUAUUUUCCUAAUUCCUUUUGUGCAUUUAAUAUGAGCAGUUU
RNAcentral lists this long non-coding RNA (685 nucleotides) under Geospiza fortis (medium ground-finch). Its description in RNAcentral is "lncRNA (ENSGFOG00000003939.1)". Lineage: Eukaryota; Metazoa; Chordata; Aves; Passeriformes; Thraupidae. The record is from RNAcentral.